CACGUAGGGUGCAAGCGUUGUCCGGAAUCAUUGGGCGUAAAGAGCUCGUAGGCGGCUUAGUAAGUCGGGUGUGAAAACCCCAGGCUCAACCUGGGGACGCCACCCGAUACUGCUAUAGCUAGAGUCCAGUAGGGGAGUGUGGAAUUCCCAGUGUAGCGGUGAAAUGCGCAGAUAUUGGGAGGAACACCAGCGGCGAAGGCGGCACUCUGGGCCGUAACUGACGCUGAGGAGCGAAAGCAUGGGGAGCGAACAGG
This 254-nucleotide ribosomal RNA is filed under the name uncultured bacterium. RNAcentral describes it as "partial 16S ribosomal RNA". It matches the Rfam family "Bacterial small subunit ribosomal RNA", at positions 524 to 776 of the family's 1533-position model. The record is from RNAcentral.